Vicia villosa (hairy vetch) is the source of this 1307-nucleotide long non-coding RNA. RefSeq lists it as uncharacterized. NCBI's taxonomy places the organism in Eukaryota, Viridiplantae, Streptophyta, Magnoliopsida, Fabales, Fabaceae. The transcript is spliced from 3 exons. The record is from RefSeq and is a predicted model, not a curated record.
UGUUUGAUAAUAUUUAUAGAAAAAAUUUCUCUCACUUAAACGCACCACCGUAUAGGCAUUUUAACAUGUUGCUCUUUCAGGUGUUUUCGCUACUGUUGUUGCAAAAAUCUUCUUAUCAUGUCAUGCACCCGACACAUUUUUCAGUAACGGACUAUGCUAGUGGUUUCAACUUCAUGAAACUUGUCGAGUUCUUCACUUAUAUUAUUUUCUUCUAAAUUUUCUGUAAAAAUCAUGUCGGUUCUUCUCCAAAUAACUUCUAAAAUGAAAGUUGAUAGAGAGUAAAAUUUAGUAUUUAAGUUUAAUUAGAAUUUAUAUAAGUGGUAGUUUUAUUUGUAUUGUUAUUUAUUUGGGUCUUUAGUAAUAUUUGUGGCCUUUUUAGUUUGUUAUCCACUAGUAACAUUAUAUAUUGUAGUAUCAUUGAGACAUUAGGGUAUCAAAUGAAAAUCUUUAAUUUUGGAAAUUUCUCUAUAGACCUCCCAACCUUCUAGUCCACCUUUGGUGAAAAACCCAAACUACCCCUGACUUCGGAAGGUAAUUUCCGAAAUGCAAGAAAAAGGCGUUUUCGGAGAUGCAUCUCCGAAAGCGUCUUUUUUUUUUGGAAAAAUUGUCUUAUUUCGGAAGUUCAUUUCCGAAAACAGCAUUUCGGAAGUUCACUUCCGAAAUACUGCGCGUUCUGCAGAUUUAACAAAACACUCCCCCUCCCCCAUUCAUUUACCCUAACUCAAAUCAAAAACAAGCAAAGGCGGAAAUUUGUGCAAACACACUUCCAAGGCUGCAUCAAGGCUCUAAUCACAUUGCUAUACAACAUUCAAAAGCCCACAAAUCACUCAAUUUGAACAUGUCAGACAACCAACCAGCACGCAUCAAACAGGGUAGGGAGACCAAGACUGCAUUGGCUAGAGAGGGAAUGGGUGGCGCUAAGGGAAGAAAGGGUUCUUCAAAGAAGGAGGUGAAGGAGGUGAAGGAGAAGAAGAAGGUUUUGACUGGUUCUGCUUCUCGUCCCCUGGGGGUCCAUGGCUCGGACGUGCAGGCUCAGUCUUCAGGCGUGAGAGUCAUGAUCAACGCUGAUGGUUCUGAGACUGAGUGGGAUGAGGAUUGGUAUAAUUAUCUUCAUUCGGAGGAGUUCGCUCGUCGGGAAGAAUAACGUGUUUUUGUUUUGUUUGAUGUGUAUUUUGUAACGCUCGUCGGGCAAAAUAACGUGUUUUUGUUUUGUUUGACGUGUUUUGUUUUGUUUUGUUUUGAUUUCGGAUUGUAUCUUUCGCAUAGUGUUUUUGGAUUGGAUUUAUCAUCUUAGUAUUUUCAGUUUA